This 84-nucleotide transfer RNA is filed under the name Felis catus (domestic cat). It matches the Rfam family "tRNA". From Rfam's summary of the family: Transfer RNA (tRNA) molecules are approximately 80 nucleotides in length. Their secondary structure includes four short double-helical elements and three loops (D, anti-codon, and T loops). Further hydrogen bonds mediate the characteristic L-shaped molecular structure. tRNAs have two regions of fundamental functional importance: the anti-codon, which is responsible for specific mRNA codon recognition, and the 3' end, to which the tRNAs corresponding amino acid is attached (by aminoacyl-tRNA synthetases). tRNAs cope with the degeneracy of the genetic code in two manners: having more than one tRNA (with a specific anti-codon) for a particular amino acid; and 'wobble' base-pairing, i.e. permitting non-standard base-pairing at the 3rd anti-codon position. The record is from Rfam by way of RNAcentral. Lineage: Eukaryota; Metazoa; Chordata; Mammalia; Carnivora; Felidae.
GCUCAGUUGGUUAAGUGACUGACUCUUGGUUUCAGCUCAGGUCAUUAUCUCACGACUUUGUGGGUUCAAGCCCCACACUGGGCU